UACGUAGGGUGCAAGCGUUGUCCGGAAUUAUUGGGCGUAAAGAGCUCGUAGGCGGUUUGUUGCGUCGGCUGUGAAAUCCCGAGGCUCAACCUCGGGUCUGCAGUCGAUACGAGCAAACUAGAGUGUUGCAGGGGAGACUGGAAUUCCUGGUGUAGCGGUGAAAUGCGCAGAUAUCUGGAGGAACACCGGUGGCGAAGGCGGCAUCCUGGACCAAUACUGACACUGAGGAGCGAAAGCCAGGGGAGCAAACGGG
This 253-nucleotide ribosomal RNA is filed under the name uncultured bacterium. RNAcentral describes it as "partial 16S ribosomal RNA". It matches the Rfam family "Bacterial small subunit ribosomal RNA", at positions 524 to 776 of the family's 1533-position model. The record is from RNAcentral.